RNA transcript from Erythranthe guttata (spotted monkey flower), 2058 nucleotides. It is a transcript of the gene named polyphenol oxidase I, chloroplastic pseudogene, with no coding region annotated. Lineage: Eukaryota; Viridiplantae; Streptophyta; Magnoliopsida; Lamiales; Phrymaceae. The record is from RefSeq and is a predicted model, not a curated record.
CCCAUCCCAAAAUACAUAUUUUGCAAUGACAUCUCUUUAUCUAUCCUGCGCCACCACCAACACCGCCAUCUCCGCCACCCCCUCCUCCCACCCCCGCCCACUCCUCCCUAAGCCAUCACAUUCACAUUUCAUCACCCAUGCAAAGCUCACCAAUCGCCUCCACCAUGUUUCUUGCUCCUCCACCCCUCAAAACCAAAACGACGAGACGAAGAAACCAACCGCAAAGGUCGUCGACAGGAGGAACAUGCUCGUCGGCAUGGGCGGACUUUACGGCGCCACCACCCUAGCCUCCACUCCAUCCGCCGCGGCGAACCCCAUACAGGCGCCGGAGCUGAACAAGUGCGGCACGGCCACCAACUUGAACAACGGGGAGAAACUCGACAUCAACUGCUGCCCCCCGAUAUCCGACCGAAUCAUCGACUACAAACUCCCCCCCGUCUUCCAGAUGAAAAUCCGUCCCUCCGCCCACCGCGUAUCCCCCGAGUACAUGUUCAAGUUCAACACCGCCAUCGACCGCAUGAAGCGCCUCCCGAAAGACGAUCCGCGUAACUUCAUGCAGCAAGCGAACAUCCACUGCGCGUACUGCAACGGCGCGUACGAUCAGCCGGGGCAGGGCACACUCGACCUCCAAAUCCACAACUCAUGGCUCUUCUUCCCCUUCCACAGAUGGUAUCUAUACUUCUACGAAAGAAUCCUCGGGAAACUCAUCGGAGAUCCCACCUUCGCCUUGCCCUUCUGGAACUGGGACAACCCUAAAGGCAUGACAAUGCCCCCCAUGUUCGUUGACCCCAAAUCCUCCCUCUACGACAAGAAGCGCAACCAGGAACACCUGCCGCCGGCGGUGGUGGAUCUCGGCCUUACGAACAGCACCGACACUCUCCAGGUGGUGGCCAACAACCUCACCAUCAUGUACAGCGAGAUGAUCCGCGGCAACUCCGACGCCAACGACUUCAUGGGGCAGGCUUACCGCGAGGGUGACGAGAGCUCGGCCAAGGCGGCGGGUUCCUCGGAGCGUGGCUCCCACACAUCCGUCCACGCGUGGGUUGGAGAUUUCAAGGAUCAGCCCAGCGGUGAAGACAUGGGGAACUUCUACUCCGCCGGGCGGGACCCGCUAUUCUACAGCCACCACGCCAACGUGGACCGCAUGUGGACGCUGUGGCAGUACUUCCUCCCGAGCAACAAAGUCCCCGACAAGAGGAUAACCGACACUGAUUUCUUGAACACUGCUUUCUUAUUCUACGACGAGAACGCGCAGUUGGUGCGCGUUACGGUGAAGGACUGCCUGGACAACUUACGAAUGGGAUACGAUUUCGAGAGGAUCGAUCUUCCGUGGCUGGACUACAGACCGCCGCGGCAGUCGGCUAGGGCGAAGAUCAACAGGGCAAGCUCCACCGCCGCACCCAAGGCGGCGGCGCUGUUCCCUCUGACGCUUGACGGAGUGGUGAGGUUCCAGGUGGACAAGACGAAGAAGGGGAAAGCAGACGAGUCUCUGGUGCUCGAGGAUAUCAAGGUCGACACGACGAAGCUGCUCAAGUUUGACGUGUUUGUGAACGACGAGGACGAUAACCCCGGCGAGCUCGACAAGGCCGCGUACUUGGGCACGUACGCGCAGGUGCCGCAUAAAUCUGCGAACAAUAAUAGUUCGACAUCUUCCAUUAAGCUGAAGCUGACUGAGCUCUACGAUGACAUGGAUAUCGAUGACGACGACACAAUCGUGGUGACGCUGGUGCCGAGGCAUCAAGGCCCGGUGUUACCAUUGGUGGUAUCAAGAUUGUCGAGAAUCCACCGAAACCGGCUGCCGGUAGUACUUGAUCAUUAGUUUUAAUUAAUUGAUGCAUGAUUUCCACAUGCAUGCUCGUGUUUGCUAGCUUCCGAUCGUUUUCCUAUGUUUCUGAUCGAUGUGUGAAAUAAGGUUUCCUUGCGCUGUGAAAUCGUGUGUGAUAUGAUCUCGUGUUUUCAUUUCCGCAAGUUGUUUGAUUAUGGAUCUUCGUUUCGUGAUUUCCGAAUAAAUUAUGUUGCACUGAUAAUUAGUUUUGUGUUACGUGUUACAUUUAAAUU